Molecule: transfer RNA, 72 nt
Filed under: Gammaproteobacteria bacterium RIFCSPHIGHO2_12_FULL_40_19
Lineage: Bacteria; Pseudomonadati; Pseudomonadota; Gammaproteobacteria
Description: tRNA-Thr
Rfam family: tRNA
About the family: Transfer RNA (tRNA) molecules are approximately 80 nucleotides in length. Their secondary structure includes four short double-helical elements and three loops (D, anti-codon, and T loops). Further hydrogen bonds mediate the characteristic L-shaped molecular structure. tRNAs have two regions of fundamental functional importance: the anti-codon, which is responsible for specific mRNA codon recognition, and the 3' end, to which the tRNAs corresponding amino acid is attached (by aminoacyl-tRNA synthetases). tRNAs cope with the degeneracy of the genetic code in two manners: having more than one tRNA (with a specific anti-codon) for a particular amino acid; and 'wobble' base-pairing, i.e. permitting non-standard base-pairing at the 3rd anti-codon position.
Source: RNAcentral
GCUGGCAUAGCUCAAUCGCAGAGCACCCGCCUUGUAAGCGGAAGGUUGGGGGUUCAAUUCCCUCUGCCAGCA